AGCUAGCCCAAAGGUGAGUUAUCUCAGUGGCUUGUUCACAGAUAGUUACGGAUCAAACUCCUUGUUCUACUGUUUCCCCCUUCUCACUACUGCACUUGACUAAUCUUAA
This 109-nucleotide non-coding RNA is filed under the name Carlito syrichta (Philippine tarsier). The record is from RNAcentral. Lineage: Eukaryota; Metazoa; Chordata; Mammalia; Primates; Tarsiidae.